RNAcentral lists this ribosomal RNA (515 nucleotides) under uncultured bacterium. RNAcentral describes it as "partial 16S ribosomal RNA". It matches the Rfam family "Bacterial small subunit ribosomal RNA", at positions 28 to 523 of the family's 1533-position model. The record is from RNAcentral.
GAUGAACGCUGGCGGCGUGCCUAAUACAUGCAAGUCGAGCGAAUGGAUUAAGAGCUUGCUCUUAUGAAGUUAGCGGCGGACGGGUGAGUAACACGUGGGUAACCUGCCCAUAAGACUGGGAUAACUCCGGGAAACCGGGGCUAAUACCGGAUAACAUUUUGAACCGCAUGGUUCGAAAUUGAAAGGCGGCUUCGGCUGUCACUUAUGGAUGGACCCGCGUCGCAUUAGCUAGUUGGGGAGGUAACGGCUCACCAAGGGAACGAUGCGUAGCCGACCUGAGAGGGUGAUCGGCCACACUGGGACUGAGAAACGGCCCAGACUCCUACGGGAGGAAGCAGUAGGGAAUCUUCCGCAAUGGACGAAAGUCUGAUGGAGCAACGCCGCGUGAGUGAUGAAGGCUUUCGGGUCGUAAAACUCUGUUGUUAGGGAAGAACAAGUGCUAGUUGAAUAAGCUGGCACCUUGACGGUACCUAACCAGAAAGCCACGGCUAACUACGUGCCAGCCGCCGCAGUAA